Podarcis lilfordi (Lilford's wall lizard) is the source of this 401-nucleotide non-coding RNA. Lineage: Eukaryota; Metazoa; Chordata; Lepidosauria; Squamata; Lacertidae. The record is from the annotation of a GenBank genome assembly.
GGCAGAAUCCGAGACCAGGGAGAAGAGUCGGUGAAAGAAGAUUGGAAAAAAUUUAAGGACUAUUUACAGAAAUAUUGUAAAAUUAAGGAACUUUAGAAGGAUGUUGGAUAGAAAUUAAGAGGUUUUUAGCUGUAAUGCUUUAAGAGACAUGAAAAAAAAAGGUUAACAAUUGGGUAAAAGAUUAAUGGUAAGGAUUUGCUGAACCAACAAACUGAAUUGGAAUACAAAGAAGGGAGGUAUGAGGAGGUCUGGGGAAAUAAGAGUAAGGAAGAUAGGUUAUGGAACAUCAUUGUGUUUUUAAUUGUUUUAUUUUGUAUGUUUUUUCUUACUUUUUACUUUUUUGCUGUAAUUUAUACUUUUUUCUUUGUUUUCUGUAUUUUUGUGAAACUUUAAUAAAUAUC